AUUGAACGCUGGCGGCAGGCCUAACACAUGCAAGUCGAGCGGAUGAAGGGAGCUUGCUCCUGGAUUCAGCGGCGGACGGGUGAGUAAUGCCUAGGAAUCUGCCUCGUAGUGGGGGAUAACGUCCGGAAACGGGCGCUAAUACCGCAUACGUCCUGAGGGAGCAAGUGGGUGAUCUUCGGACCUCACGCUAUCAGAUGAGCCUAGGUCGGAUUAGCUAGUUGGUGGGGUAGAGGCCUACCAAGGCGACGAUCCGUAACUGGUCUGAGAGGAUGAUCAGUCACACUGGAACUGAGACACGGUCCAGACUCCUAAGGGAGGCAGCAGUGGGGAAUAUUGGACAAUGGGCGAAAGCCUGAUCCAGCCAUGCCGCGUGUGUGAAGAAGGUCUUCGGAUUGUAAAGCACUUUAAGUUGGGAGGAAGGGCAGUAAGUUAAUACCUUGCUGUUUUGACGUUACCAACAGAAUAAGCACCGGCUAACUUCGUG
Molecule: ribosomal RNA, 484 nt
Filed under: uncultured bacterium
Lineage: Bacteria
Description: partial 16S ribosomal RNA
Rfam family: Bacterial small subunit ribosomal RNA
Source: RNAcentral